GACGAACGCUGGCGGCGUGCUUAACACAUGCAAGUCGAACGGAAAGGCCCUGCUUUUGUGGGGUGCUCGAGUGGCGAACGGGUGAGUAACACGUGAGUAACCUGCCCUUGACUUUGGGAUAGCUUCAGGAAACUGGGGCUAAUACCGGAUAGGAGCUCCUGCUGCAUGGUGGGGGUUGGAAAGUUUCGGCGGUUGGGGAUGGACUCGCGGCUUAUCAGCUUGUUGGUGGGGUAGUGGCUUACCAAGGCUUUGACGGGUAGCCGGCCUGAGAGGGUGACCGGCCACAUUGGGACUGAGAUACGGCCCAGACUCCUACGGGAGGCAGCAGUGGGGAAUAUUGCACAAUGGGCGGAAGCCUGAUGCAGCAACGCCGCGUGCGGGAUGACGGCCUUCGGGUUGUAAACCGCUUUCGCCUGUGACGAAGCGUGAGUGACGGUAAUGGGUAAAGAAGCACCGGCUAACUACGUGCCAGCAGCCGCGGUGAUACGUAGGGUGCGAGCGUUGUCCGGAUUUAUUGGGCGUAAAGGGCUCGUAGGUGGUUGAUCGCGUCGGAAGUGUAAUCUUGGGGCUUAACCCUGAGCGUGCUUUCGAUACGGGUUGACUUGAGGAAGGUAGGGGAGAAUGGAAUUCCUGGUGGAGCGGUGGAAUGCGCAGAUAUCAGGAGGAACACCAGUGGCGAAGGCGGUUCUCUGGGCCUUUCCUGACGCUGAGGAGCGAAAGCGUGGGGAGCGAACAGGCUUAGAUACCCUGGUAGUCCACGCUGUAAACGGUGGGUACUAGGUGUGGGGUCCAUUCCACGGGUUCCGUGCCGUAGCUAACGCUUUAAGUACCCCGCCUGGGGAGUACGGCCGCAAGGCUAAAACUCAAAGGAAUUGACGGGGCCCCGCACAAGCGGCGGAGCAUGCGGAUUAAUUCGAUGCAACGCGUAGAACCUUACCUGGGUUUGACAUGGAUCGGGAGCGCUCAGAGAUGGGUGUGCCUCUUUUGGGGUCGGUUCACAGGUGGUGCAUGGCUGUCGUCAGCUCGCGUCGUGAGAUGUUGGGUUAAGUCCCGCAACGAGCGCAACCCUUGUUCACUGUUGCCAGCACGUUAUGGUGGGGACUCAGUGGAGACCGCCGGGGUCAACUCGGAGGAAGGUGGGGAUGACGUCAAGUCAUCAUGCCCCUUAUGUCCAGGGCUUCACGCAUGCUACAAUGGCUGGUAUAGAGAGUGGCGAGCCUGUGAGGGUGAGCGAAUCUCGGAAAGCCGGUCUCAGUUCGGAUUGGGGUCUGCAACUCGACCUCAUGAAGUCGGAGUCGCUAGUAAUCGCAGAUCAGCAACGCUGCGGUGAAUACGUUCCCGGG
This 1343-nucleotide ribosomal RNA is filed under the name uncultured bacterium. RNAcentral describes it as "16S ribosomal RNA". It matches the Rfam family "Bacterial small subunit ribosomal RNA", at positions 28 to 1378 of the family's 1533-position model. The record is from RNAcentral.